AGAGUUUGAUCCUGGCUCAGGACGAACGCUGGCGGCGCGCCUAACACAUGCAAGUCGAGCGAGAAUCUCUUCAGGGGUAACCCUGAGGAGAGGAAAGCGGCGAACGGGUGAGUAACACGUGAGGAACCUGCCCCGGACUCUGGGAUAACAGCGGGAAACCGCUGCUAAUACCGGAUACUCCAUUCUGUUCUCAUGAAAAGAAUGGGAAAGUUUUUCGGUCCGGGAUGGCCUCGCGGCCUAUCAGCUAGUUGGUGGGGUAACGGCCUACCAAGGCGACGACGGGUAGCUGGCGUGAGAGCGUGGCCAGCCACACUGGGACUGAGAUACGGCCCAGACUCCUACGGGAGGCAGCAGUGGGGAAUCUUGCACAAUGGGCGAAAGCCUGAUGCAGCGACGCCGCGUGAGGGAUGAAGGCCCUAGGGUUGUAAACCUCUUUCAGCAGGGACGAAGCGAAAGUGACGGUACCUGCAGAAGAAGCCCCGGCUAACUACGUGCCAGCAGCCGCGGUAAUACGUAGGGGGCGAGCGUUGUCCGGAUUUAUUGGGCGUAAAGAGCGCGUAGGUGGUUUGUAAAGUCGGAUGUGAAAGUCCAGGGCUUAACCCUGGGAUGCCAUUCGAUACUUGCAGACUAGAGCAUGGUAGGGGGAUCUGGAAUUCCUGGUGUAGCGGUGAAAUGCGCAGAUAUCAGGAGGAACACCGGUGGCGAAGGCGGGAUCCUGGGCCAUUGCUGACACUGAGGCGCGAAAGCUGGGGGAGCGAACAGGAUUAGAUACCCCCGUAGUCC
RNAcentral lists this ribosomal RNA (783 nucleotides) under uncultured Actinomycetes bacterium. RNAcentral describes it as "bacterial SSU rRNA". It matches the Rfam family "Bacterial small subunit ribosomal RNA", at positions 8 to 796 of the family's 1533-position model. The record is from RNAcentral. Lineage: Bacteria; Bacillati; Actinomycetota; Actinomycetes.